Podarcis lilfordi (Lilford's wall lizard) is the source of this 71-nucleotide non-coding RNA. Lineage: Eukaryota; Metazoa; Chordata; Lepidosauria; Squamata; Lacertidae. The record is from the annotation of a GenBank genome assembly.
GGACCGUAAUUCAGUGGUAGAGCAUCUGACUUGCACUCAGAAGCUCCCAGGUGCUAUCUCUGGCAUCUCCA